AUUGCUGUGGUAUUUUGACUAUACGAAGGUAUUGAAAUAAGACUUUAAAUGGGUGCUAAGAGAAUGGUUGAACAAUUAUUAACUUUCUUUAAUUUAAAAAUUAAAUUUAAUUUUUUUGUGAGGAAGCAAAAAUAAAUAUUAGGGACGAGAAGACCCUAUGAAUUUUAAUUUAGUUUUAGUUUUAUUUUAAAAUUAUCAUUAAAUUUGGUUGGGGUGAUGGGAAAAGAAUAUAUAUCUUUUAUUUUUUUUUUUGAAAAUUGGUUCCGUUUUUAACGAUUAAAUGAAAAAAAUACUCUAGGGAUAACAGCGUAAUAAUUUUGGAUAGUUCAUAUAGAUAAAAUAGUUUGCGACCUCGAUGUUGGAUUAGGAUUCUUUUUCGGCGAAGA
This 386-nucleotide ribosomal RNA is filed under the name Ixodes sp. 29b. RNAcentral describes it as "partial large subunit ribosomal RNA". The record is from RNAcentral. Lineage: Eukaryota; Metazoa; Arthropoda; Arachnida; Ixodida; Ixodidae.